This 663-nucleotide ribosomal RNA is filed under the name uncultured bacterium. RNAcentral's name for it is "bacterial SSU rRNA". It matches the Rfam family "Bacterial small subunit ribosomal RNA", at positions 61 to 693 of the family's 1533-position model. The record is from RNAcentral.
GUCGACGAGAGGACAUGGGAAGCUUGCUUCCUAUGAAAUCGAGUGGCAAACGGGUGAGUAACGCGUAAACAACCUGCCCUUCGGAUGGGGAUAACAGCCGGAAACGGCUGCUAAUACCGAAUACGAUCUUUUCGUCGCAUGACGGAAAGAAGAAAGGAUGGCCUCUAUACAAAGCUAUCGCCGAAGGAGGGGUUUGCGUCUGAUUAGCUGGUUGGAGGGGUAACGGCCCAACAAGGCGAUGAUCAGUAGCCGGUCUGAGAGGAUGAACGGCCACAUUGGGACUGAGACACGGCCCAGACUCCUACGGGAGGCAGCAGUGGGGAAUCUUCCGCAAUGGACGAAAGUCUGACGGAGCAACGCCGCGUGAGUGAAGAAGGUCUUCGGAUUGUAAAGCUCUGUUAUACGGGACGAAAAAGACGGAUGCCAACAGUAUCCGUCCGUGACGGUACCGUAAGAGAAAGCCACGGCUAACUACGUGCCAGCAGCCGCGGUAAUACGUAGGUGGCAAGCGUUGUCCGGAAUUAUUGGGCGUAAAGGGCGCGCAGGCGGUUCGGUAAGUCUGUCUUAAAAGUGCGGGGCUUAACCCCGUGAGGGGACGGAAACUGUCGAACUUGAGUGUCGGAGAGGAAAGCGGAAUUCCUAGUGUAGCGGUGAAAUGCGUAG